RNAcentral lists this ribosomal RNA (371 nucleotides) under uncultured bacterium. RNAcentral's name for it is "bacterial SSU rRNA". It matches the Rfam family "Bacterial small subunit ribosomal RNA", at positions 527 to 896 of the family's 1533-position model. The record is from RNAcentral.
GUAGGAGGCAAGCGUUGUCCGGAUUUACUGGGCGUAAAGCGCGCGCAGGCGGCAGUGUAAGUAAGGUGUGAAAUCUCCCUGCUCAACGGGGAGGGUGCAUUUUAGACUGCACAGCUAGAGGUCGGUAGAGGGGGGUGGAAUUGCUGGUGUAGCGGUGAAAUGCGUAGAGAUCAGCAGGAACACCCGUGGCGAAGGCGGCCCCCUGGGCCGUACCUGACGCUGAGGCGCGAAGGCUAGGGGAGCGAACGGGAUUAGAUACCCCGGUAGUCCUAGCAGUAAACGAUGGCCACUAGGUGUGGGGGGUGUUGACCCCUUCCGUGCCGUAGCUAACGCAUUAAGUGGCCCGCCUGGGGAGUACGGUCGCAAGACUA